CCUACGGGAGGCAGCAGUGGGGAAUAUUGCACAAUGGGGGAAACCCUGAUGCAUCAACGCCGCGUGAGCGAUGAAGGACUUCGGGUCGUAAAGCUCUGUCCUAAGGGAAGAAUACUGACGGUACCUUAGGAGGAAGCCCCGGCUAACUACGUGCCAGCAGCCGCGGUGAUACGUAGGGGGCUAGCGUUAUCCGGGAUUAAUAGGCGUAAAGGGUGCGUAGGCGGCCCGUCAAGUCAGAGGUGAAAGGCUACGGCUAAACCGUAGUAAGCCAGUGAGACUGUAGGGCUUAAGUGGGGGAGAGGGGAGGGGAAUUGCCAGUUUAGCGGUGAAGUGCGCAGAUAUUGGUGGGAACACCAGUUGCGAUGGCGGCUGUCUCGACUGUAAAAGACGGAGAGGCAGGAAAGCGUAAGGAGCGAACAGGAUUAGAUAGCCGUGAGGGG
This 440-nucleotide ribosomal RNA is filed under the name uncultured bacterium. RNAcentral's name for it is "bacterial SSU rRNA". It matches the Rfam family "Bacterial small subunit ribosomal RNA", at positions 338 to 794 of the family's 1533-position model. The record is from RNAcentral.